CGGGGUGUAGCGCAGUUGGUAGCGCGCCUGCUUUGGGAGCAGGAUGCCGGGGGUUCGAAUCCCUUCACUCCGACCA
This 76-nucleotide transfer RNA is filed under the name [Clostridium] innocuum. Its description in RNAcentral is "tRNA-Pro". It matches the Rfam family "tRNA". From Rfam's summary of the family: Transfer RNA (tRNA) molecules are approximately 80 nucleotides in length. The record is from RNAcentral. RNAcentral also lists the same sequence under 4 other names. Lineage: Bacteria; Bacillati; Bacillota; Clostridia; Eubacteriales; Clostridiaceae.